GAUGAACGCUGGCGGCGUGCCUAAUACAUGCAAGUCGAGCGAACGUCGUAGUAGCUUGCUUCUAUGACGUUAGCGGCGGACGGGUGAGUAACACGUGGGCAACCUGCCUGUAAGACUGGGAUAACUUCGGGAAACCGAAGCUAAUACCGGAUAGGAUCUUCUCCUUCAUGGGAUAUGAUUGAAAGAUGGUUUCGGCUAUCACUUACAGAUGGGCCCGGGGUGCAUUAGCUAGUUGGUGAGGUAACGGCUCACCAAGGCAACGUUGCAUAGCCGACUGGAGAGGGUGUACGGCACCACUGGGACGGAGACACGGCCCAGACUCCUACGGGAGGCAGCAGUAGGGAAUCUUCCGCAAGGGACGAAAGUCUGACGGAGCAACGCCGCGUGAGUGAUGAAGGCUUUCGGGUCGUAAAACUCUGUUGUUAGGGAAGAACAAGUACGAGAGUAACUGCUCGUACCUUGACGGUACCUAACCAGAAAGCCACGGCUAACUACGUGCCAGCAGCCGCCGUAA
RNAcentral lists this ribosomal RNA (514 nucleotides) under uncultured bacterium. RNAcentral's name for it is "partial 16S ribosomal RNA". It matches the Rfam family "Bacterial small subunit ribosomal RNA", at positions 28 to 523 of the family's 1533-position model. The record is from RNAcentral.